Molecule: ribosomal RNA, 440 nt
Filed under: uncultured bacterium
Lineage: Bacteria
Description: partial 16S ribosomal RNA
Rfam family: Bacterial small subunit ribosomal RNA
Source: RNAcentral
CCUACGGGAGGCAGCAGUGGGGAAUAUUGCACAAUGGGGGAAACCCUGAUGCAGCGACGCCGCGUGAGUGAAGAAGUAUUUCGGUAUGGAAAGCUCUAUCAGUAGGGGAGAAAAUUACGGUACGUGAUUAAGUAGCCCCGUCUAACUACGUGCCGGCAGCGGCGGUAAUACGUAGGGGGCAGUCGUUAUCCGGAUUUACUGGGUGUAAAGGGGGCGUAGACGGUAGCACAAGUCAGGAGUGAAAGGCCGGGGCUUAACCCGGAAAUUGCGUUUGAAACUGUACAGCUAGAGUACAGGAGAGGUAGGUGGAAUGCUUGGUGUAGCGGUGAAAUGCAUAGAUAUCAGGAAGAACGCCGAUGGCGAAGGCGGCUUACUAAACUGUAACUGACAUUGAGGCUCGAAAGCGUGGGGAGCAAACAGGAUUAGAUACCCGAGUAGUC